UACGUAGGGGGCGAGCGUUGUCCGGAUUUAUUGGGCGUAAAGAGCGUGUAGGCGGCCAGGUAGGUCUGCUGUGAAAACUCGAGGCUCAACCUCGAGACGUCGGCGGAAACCAUCUGGCUAGAGUCCGGAAGAGGGGAGUGGAAUUCCUGGUGUAGCGGUGAAAUGCGCAGAUAUCAGGAAGAACACCCGUGGCGAAGGCGGCUCUCUGGGACGGUACUGACGCUGAGACGCGAAAGCGUGGGGAGCGAACAGG
This 253-nucleotide ribosomal RNA is filed under the name uncultured bacterium. RNAcentral describes it as "partial 16S ribosomal RNA". It matches the Rfam family "Bacterial small subunit ribosomal RNA", at positions 524 to 776 of the family's 1533-position model. The record is from RNAcentral.